Molecule: long non-coding RNA, 1856 nt
Filed under: Arachis ipaensis
Lineage: Eukaryota; Viridiplantae; Streptophyta; Magnoliopsida; Fabales; Fabaceae
Description: long non-coding RNA (AIPA_LNC002135)
Source: RNAcentral
GAGUGUCAUCAAAUUUAAAAUUUCAUUACUAAGACUACAGAGCAACUAUAGAAUUAUUACAUGUAAUGUAACCAAAUUAAAAGUCUCAAAUAAAAUAAAACCAUAACUAUCGAAAUUAAGAUAGGUCAAAUGAAAUCCUCAUGCAAAAUUUCUUCUUAUCUUUGAUUUCCAGUUUUCUUGAAUCCAAAUGCAUGGUCUCUAAUAUAACAAGUCCCUUCUAUCUUUAAUUCCGAGUUAUCUUGUUCUCAACCAAGACUAGGAAACUAUUCACUUUUUCUUAGCUUGUUAACAUUGUUGGAUUUCAAGCAGAAAACCAUUAUAAAUACAUACUCAUUAUAGCUAUUGUUACUGUUUUCCGAUUUUCUGGUAGAAUCAAGUCAAGAAAGCAUUAGAUGUGUGUUUGUAAUAAAAACUUUUGUUUGAAGGGAGUUCUAUAUGAUUGUGCAGUCCAAGUGGCAAUGAUCCUGAAGAGUCAAGGAUACCACCUCCAAGAAAUUGAUUCAUCUGCAAGCAUAUGUUUAAAUUACACAUGAUACUUUCAAGUUUAAUAGAGUAGCAAAUAAAUAAGUACUUCUUUAUCUGAUAGAAAAAUGCCAGACUCACUUUCAAGUUCUAUAAUGCUGAUUAAAAGAACCAAUGCACCAACAUAAAAGAAGUCAGAGAUAUACUCAAGAGGUUGCUAGGUAUUAUAAAUAAAAUUCAUUACAACUGGCAGAUCAUGGAGCUACUGCUUAUCAAUUUUGGCAAGAAAACUAAGUGGAACUAUCUUGAAUCAGAAAGAUAGAAAGCAAUAAACUAUAGAAUAAAAAGAAUUAAGUUUUGUGAUUUGUUAUUGAUCAUAAAAGAAGAAAUCAGAAUCAUAGCUUUCUCUCUACAAUGAGUUACACUAUACAUCAAGUGGCCUCUCUAUUAUAUACUCUUCACAAAAAUCUAUGGUCCUAUCUUAUAGUGUUAAAACUCACAAUAAAGGCACGGAUAAAAAGAAAGAAAGAAAGCACAUGCAGGAACAGAGAAUGAGACUUAAAUAAUUAAGUCUAAGUCGGUUAACAUCAAAUGGAAAAAUUUCAAGCAUAGGGACCCUAGUUUGUUCAAAGGAAUUAGAUUAGCAUAUUAAGUAUUUUUUGGUCUACUCUAUAUAGCUAGAUAGUGACAUAAAAUCUUACUUGAGUUCUUAUAUUCUGUGCAAUCUGUACAAGGAGUAUAAUCACUUCCAAGAUAACUUGUAAAUAACUAGGAACUUGGCUUUUUUGUCUGAGAGUUAGUUCUACGGUAAUAAAAACUUAUAAACUAAUUGAAAUCACUUAGCACAAAUGAAUGAACCUUCGUAAAAAUAACUAAAAAAUAAAUGUGAAAUUCGGACAGAGGAUUGAAUCUGGACAGAGGAUUUGGGUUGAAAUUCAGACGAGCGUUGAAAUUCGGGGGGAAUUUGAUUUUGAAACUAACAGAAACUAAGGCUCUUCGAAAAAAAAAACAAAAAUUAAGGAAAACACAGAGAAUUGGAAAAGAGAGUGAAAGCAUACUUUCUCUUCUUCCUCUAAACUACCUUCUUUUCACCAAUGGCAUGCCUCUUGUGCAAAGAAUUCCUAGAAAUACCUUAAACCCAAGCGACGAGCCACUUGGUGACGGCGAGGACCCGAAACCAGAAGACAAGACGACGAGCCACGACGACCUGACGAGUUGCUUCUGUUGCCGGCGACAAGGAGCCCAAGAAAGGCCGCAAGACGUUGAGACCCCGGCGACCCCGGCAACGAGGCGAGACGAAUGACGAGACGCCAGCAAGUGUGACUGAGACGAGACUCGAGUGAGACUGAGAGAAACUCUAGUGGGCUAGUGGUAGUGGAAGUGAGAGAGGAGAG